This 1013-nucleotide ribosomal RNA is filed under the name Salmonella enterica. RNAcentral describes it as "partial 23S ribosomal RNA". It matches the Rfam family "Bacterial large subunit ribosomal RNA", at positions 1145 to 2141 of the family's 2925-position model. Lineage: Bacteria; Pseudomonadati; Pseudomonadota; Gammaproteobacteria; Enterobacterales; Enterobacteriaceae. The record is from RNAcentral.
CUGGUCGAGUCGGCCUGCGCGGAAGAUGUAACGGGGCUAAACCAUGCACCGAAGCUGCGGCAGCGACACUAUGUGUUGUUGGGUAGGGGAGCGUUCUGUAAGCCUGUGAAGGUGUGUCGUGAGGCAUGCUGGAGGUAUCAGAAGUGCGAAUGCUGACAUAAGUAACGAUAAAGCGGGUGAAAAGCCCGCUCGCCGGAAGACCAAGGGUUCCUGUCCAACGUUAAUCGGGGCAGGGUGAGUCGACCCCUAAGGCGAGGCCGAAAGGCGUAGUCGAUGGGAAACGGGUUAAUAUUCCCGUACUUGGUGUUACUGCGAAGGGGGGACGGAGAAGGCUAUGUUGGCCGGGCGACGGUUGUCCCGGUUUAAGCGUGUAGGUGUGUGUUCCAGGUAAAUCCGGUUCACUUUAACACUGAGGCGUGACGACGAGGCACUACGGUGCUGAAGCAACAAAUGCCCUGCUUCCAGGAAAAGCCUCUAAGCAUCAGGUAACAUCAAAUCGUACCCCAAACCGACACAGGUGGUCAGGUAGAGAAUACCAAGGCGCUUGAGAGAACUCGGGUGAAGGAACUAGGCAAAAUGGUGCCGUAACUUCGGGAGAAGGCACGCUGACACGUAGGUGAAGUGAUUUACUCAUGGAGCUGAAGUCAGUCGAAGAUACCAGCUGGCUGCAACUGUUUAUUAAAAACACAGCACUGUGCAAACACGAAAGUGGACGUAUACGGUGUGACGCCUGCCCGGUGCCGGAAGGUUAAUUGAUGGGGUCAGCGCAAGCGAAGCUCCUGAUCGAAGCCCCGGUAAACGGCGGCCGUAACUAUAACGGUCCUAAGGUAGCGAAAUUCCUUGUCGGGUAAGUUCCGACCUGCACGAAUGGCGUAAUGAUGGCCAGGCUGUCUCCACCCGAGACUCAGUGAAAUUGAACUCGCUGUGAAGAUGCAGUGUACCCGCGGCAAGACGGAAAGACCCCGUGAACCUUUACUAUAGCUUGACACUGAACAUUGAGCCUUGAUGUGUAG